This 1287-nucleotide ribosomal RNA is filed under the name metagenome. Its description in RNAcentral is "bacterial SSU rRNA". It matches the Rfam family "Bacterial small subunit ribosomal RNA", at positions 242 to 1520 of the family's 1533-position model. The record is from RNAcentral.
UAGCUAGUUGGUGAGGUAACGGCUUACCAAGGCGACGAUCUGUAGCGGGUCUGAGAGGAUGAUCCGCCACACUGGAACUGAGACACGGUCCAGACUCCUACGGGAGGCAGCAGUGGGGAAUUUUGGACAAUGGGGGCAACCCUGAUCCAGCCAUGCCGCGUGAGUGAAGAAGGCCUUCGGGUUGUAAAGCUCUUUCGGCCGGGAAGAAAUCGCAUGGGCCAAUACUCUGUGUGGAUGACGGUACCGGAAUAAGAAGCACCGGCUAACUACGUGCCAGCAGCCGCGGUAAUACGUAGGGUGCGAGCGUUAAUCGGAAUUACUGGGCGUAAAGCGUGCGCAGGCGGUUUUGUAAGACAGGCGUGAAAUCCCCGGGCUCAACAUGGGAACUGCGUUUGUGACUGCAAGGCUAGAGUACGGCAGAGGGGGGUGGAAUUCCACGUGUAGCAGUGAAAUGCGUAGAGAUGUGGAGGAACACCAAUGGCGAAGGCAGCCCCCUGGGUCGAUACUGACGCUCAUGCACGAAAGCGUGGGUAGCAAACAGGAUUAGAUACCCUGGUAGUCCACGCCCUAAACUAUGUCAACUAGGUGUUGGGUGGGUAAAACCAUUUAGUACCGUAGCUAACGCGUGAAGUUGACCGCCUGGGGAGUACGGCCGCAAGGUUAAAACUCAAAGGAAUUGACGGGGACCCGCACAAGCGGUGGAUGAUGUGGAUUAAUUCGAUGCAACGCGAAAAACCUUACCUACCCUUGACAUGCCAGGAACUUGCCAGAGAUGGCUUGGUGCCCGAAAGGGAGCCUGGACACAGGUGCUGCAUGGCUGUCGUCAGCUCGUGUCGUGAGAUGUUGGGUUAAGUCCCGCAACGAGCGCAACCCUUGUCGUUAAUUGCCAUCAUUUAGUUGGGCACUUUAGCGAGACUGCCGGUGACAAACCGGAGGAAGGCGGGGAUGACGUCAAGUCCUCAUGGCCCUUAUGGGUAGGGCUUCACACGUCAUACAAUGGUCGGUACAGAGGGUCGCCAAGCCGCGAGGUGGAGCCAAUCCCAGAAAGCCGAUCGUAGUCCGGAUUGCAGGCUGCAACUCGCCUGCAUGAAGUCGGAAUCGCUAGUAAUCGUGGAUCAGCAUGUCACGGUGAAUACGUUCCCGGGUCUUGUACACACCGCCCGUCACACCAUGGGAGCGGGUUCCGCCAGAAGUAGGUAGCCUAACCGCAAGGAGGGCGCUUACCACGGCGGGGUUCGUGACUGGGGUGAAGUCGUAACAAGGUAGCCGUAGGGGAACCUGCGGCUG